This 253-nucleotide unclassified non-coding RNA is filed under the name uncultured Cytophagales bacterium. RNAcentral's name for it is "contains 16S-23S intergenic spacer region". It matches the Rfam family "Bacterial small subunit ribosomal RNA", at positions 524 to 776 of the family's 1533-position model. The record is from RNAcentral. Lineage: Bacteria; Pseudomonadati; Bacteroidota; Sphingobacteriia; Sphingobacteriales.
UACGGAGGGUGCAAGCGUUAUCCGGAUUUACUGGGUUUAAAGGGUGCGUAGGCGGCUUUUUAAGUCAGUGGUGAAAGCCUAGUGCUUAACACUAGAAUGGCCAUUGAUACUGGAAAGCUUGAGUCAAGGAGAGGUAAGCAGAAUUUAUGGUGUAGCAGUGAAAUGCUUAGAUACCAUAAGGAAUACCAAUAGCGAAGGCAGCUUACUGGCCUUGAACUGACGCUGAGGCACGAAAGCGUGGGGAGCAAACAGG